This 364-nucleotide ribosomal RNA is filed under the name uncultured Thermus sp. Its description in RNAcentral is "bacterial SSU rRNA". It matches the Rfam family "Bacterial small subunit ribosomal RNA", at positions 1019 to 1382 of the family's 1533-position model. Lineage: Bacteria; Thermotogati; Deinococcota; Deinococci; Thermales; Thermaceae. The record is from RNAcentral.
ACGGGGAGCCCCUAGCACAGGUGCUGCAUGGCCGUCGUCAGCUCGUGCCGUGAGGUGUUGGGUUAAGUCCCGCAACGAGCGCAACCCCCGCCGUUAGUUGCCAGCGGUUCGGCCGGGCACUCUAACGGGACUGCCCGCGAAAGCGGGAGGAAGGAGGGGACGACGUCUGGUCAGCAUGGCCCUUACGGCCUGGGCGACACACGUGCUACAAUGCCCACUACAAAGCGAUGCCACCCGGCAACGGGGAGCUAAUCGCAAAAAGGUGGGCCCAGUUCGGAUUGGGGUCUGCAACCCGACCCCAUGAAGCCGGAAUCGCUAGUAAUCGCGGAUCAGCCAUGCCGCGGUGAAUACGUUCCCGGGCCUU